UUAGAGGACGCAAUUUUAUAUUUGGGACACAAACUGGCUGUCAAAUCUACGAAAGACCAAACAUCAAAGCGAGACCAUGAUAAACUGGUCAAUGAUGGUGUAAGGGGGCCAAGAGUGGCGACCCCAUAAACUUGAGGUUAAGCUUUUAUUGACCCCCCAACCCUGGCCCAAAAAUAAUAUUGCGUCCUCUAAAAAUGCAAUACUCGGUCCUUAAAUUGUAACAUUUCCAGGGACUAACUGUUUUGCUGAGUGAGUCAGAAUACCGGAAUGAAUACUUCAAACGUACAAUAACGUGACGUAAAGUUGUAUUUGGAUCUGGUUUUUAUUUUUUAAUUUAUCUAUACAUUACUACAUCCCGUAUUGUUGAAAUUCUCGUAAAAUUGUAAACAAAAAAAUCUUGUUUCGGUUAAACAAUAAGAAAAUAAACGAAAUGUGAGUUUGUCUGUUGCUGUUGUUGUAUUUGUUGAAGUGGAUAUUUUCUCCCGUUAUCCAUUUUAUACUUUAGUGCAAAAGUACAUGUAACUACGUAGUCAGUUGCAGCAUUUUGAGAUCAUUCAAUUCAACGAUUAAGGGAUAUCGUGUUACAAAAAUCUAUGUAUUUAUUGUUGCAAGUAAAGCCGGGAGCAAAAGUUAUUUUACAUAUUUUCCGCCUCACUGUGAUUGAAACUGAAUAAUUAUUAUUUUCUUGUUUUUUAUACAGCUGGCUGUGACCUGUUCUCUCCGUCGUCAUCGAAGAUUUAGUAUAAAACGAGGCGUUUAUGGAACACAGACAUCAGUUCAACCUGAAAAUUGUUACAAUGAAAUUCUUCGCCUUCUUCACGUUGUUCGUGUGCGCCAUCUUGGCUCUGGCCAGCGGUGAGCGGGUGUACUACAGACAGGUGCGCAGCCCAGUGCCUGUCCAGGACGCAGCGCCAGCACCAGGCCACCACCACCACCACCAUAAGCACUACGGAUACGGCUACGGAUACCACUGAUAUGGAAGUGAUUGGCUAUUGAUUGAUUAAAAGUUUUGUUAAGUUUACGAUUUGGUUAUUGUUUAGUAUGAGGUAUAAUAAUAAAAUAUUUUGUAGUUAA
Molecule: long non-coding RNA, 1074 nt
Organism: Spodoptera frugiperda (fall armyworm)
Lineage: Eukaryota; Metazoa; Arthropoda; Insecta; Lepidoptera; Noctuidae
Exons: 2
Source: RefSeq, a predicted model, not a curated record